GAUGAACGCUGACAGAAUGCUUAACACAUGCAAGUCUACUUGAAUUUGGGUUUUUAACUUAGAUUUGGGUGGCGGACGGGUGAGUAACGCGUAAAGAACUUGCCUCACAGCUAGGGACAACAUUUAGAAAUGAAUGCUAAUACCUAAUAUUAUGAUAAUAGGGCAUCCUAUAAUUAUGAAAGCUAUAUGCGCUGUGAGAGAGCUUUGCGUCCCAUUAGCUAGUUGGAGAGGUAACAGCUCACCAAGGCGAUGAUGGGUAGCCGGCCUGAGAGGGUGAUCGGCCACAAGGGGACUGAGACACGGCCCUUACUCCUACGGGAGGCAGCAGUGGGGAAUAUUGGACAAUGGACCGAGAGUCUGAUCCAGCAAUUCUGUGUGCACGAUGAAGUUUUUCGGAAUGUAAAGUGCUUUCAGUUGGGAAGAAAGAAAUGACGGUACCAACAGAAGAAGUGACGGCUAAAUACGUGCCAGCAGCCGCGGUAAUACGUAUGUCACGAGCGUUAUCCGGAUUUAUUGGGCGUAAAGCGCGUCUAGGUGGUUAUAUAAGUCUGAUGUGAAAAUGCAGGGCUCAACUCUGUAUUGCGUUGGAAACUGUAUAACUAGAGUACUGGAGAGGUAAGCGGAACUACAAGUGUAGAGGUGAAAUUCGUAGAUAUUUGUAGGAAUGCCGAUGGGGGAAGCCAGCUUACUGGACAGAUACUGACGCUGAAGCGCGAAAGCGUGGGUAGCAAACAGG
This 736-nucleotide ribosomal RNA is filed under the name uncultured Fusobacterium sp. RNAcentral's name for it is "bacterial SSU rRNA". It matches the Rfam family "Bacterial small subunit ribosomal RNA", at positions 28 to 776 of the family's 1533-position model. The record is from RNAcentral. Lineage: Bacteria; Fusobacteriati; Fusobacteriota; Fusobacteriia; Fusobacteriales; Fusobacteriaceae.